GGCCCCAUCGUCUAGUGGCCCAGGACGCCGCCCUCUCAAGGCGGUAGCACGGGUUCGAAUCCCGUUGGGGCUACCA
Molecule: transfer RNA, 76 nt
Filed under: Pseudonocardiales bacterium
Lineage: Bacteria; Bacillati; Actinomycetota; Actinomycetes; Pseudonocardiales
Also listed under: 1 other name
Description: tRNA-Glu
Rfam family: tRNA
About the family: Transfer RNA (tRNA) molecules are approximately 80 nucleotides in length.
Source: RNAcentral